RNAcentral lists this long non-coding RNA (210 nucleotides) under Actinidia chinensis (golden kiwifruit). Its description in RNAcentral is "long non-coding RNA (ACHI_LNC006620)". Lineage: Eukaryota; Viridiplantae; Streptophyta; Magnoliopsida; Ericales; Actinidiaceae. The record is from RNAcentral.
UCGCUCGCUCGCCAAUCAGUUCUAUUUCUUACCUCAAUUGUCUCGACAGCUAAAGGCGGUGUCUUCCAUCAACAGCAAAAUGAACGAAUUCGCAGUGAUAUAGACAGAAAUACCUUAACUGGAUCAUCGUUACUGAUUCCUUCCUGUCGAUAGAAAUGCUUCUCACUAGCAGUGAUGGGAGGCAAAUACCAAUUAGGGUCCAGCAAUAAA